This 192-nucleotide ribosomal RNA is filed under the name uncultured Prevotella sp. RNAcentral's name for it is "partial 16S ribosomal RNA". It matches the Rfam family "Bacterial small subunit ribosomal RNA", at positions 335 to 524 of the family's 1533-position model. The record is from RNAcentral. Lineage: Bacteria; Pseudomonadati; Bacteroidota; Bacteroidia; Bacteroidales; Prevotellaceae.
ACUCCUACGGGAGGCAGGAGUGAGGAAUAUUGGUCAAUGGACGGAAGUGUGAACCAGCCAAGUAGCGUGCAGGAUGACGGCCAUAUGGGUUGUAAAGUGCGUAUGUGUGGGAAUAAAGUGAGGGACGUGUCUGUUUGUGGAGGUACCACAUGAAUAAGGAGCGGCUAAUUGUGUGCCAGCAGCCGCGGUAAU